This 261-nucleotide ribosomal RNA is filed under the name uncultured archaeon. Its description in RNAcentral is "partial 16S ribosomal RNA". It matches the Rfam family "Archaeal small subunit ribosomal RNA", at positions 748 to 1009 of the family's 1478-position model. The record is from RNAcentral.
CAGCCCUAAACGGUGCGCGUUAGGUGUAUCGGUGACCACGAGUCACCGAGGUGCCGAAGGGAAACCGUGAAACGUGCCGCCUGGGAAGUACGGUCGCAAGGCUGAAACUUAAAGGAAUUGGCGGGGGAGCACCACAACGGGUGGAGCUUGCGGUUUAAUUGGAUUCAACGCCGGAAAUCUUACCGGGACCGACAGCAACAUGAAGGCCAGGCUGAAGACUUUGCCGGAUUAGCUGAGAGGAGGUGCAUGGCGUAGUCGUGU